CCCUUAGAUGUUCUGGGCCGCACGCGCGCUACAAUGGCAGACUCAGCGAGUUACCUCUGUCGAAAGGCACAGGGAAUCUUUACAGUAUCUGCCGUGAUGGGGAUAGACCCUUGUAAUUUUUGGUCUUCAACGAGGAAUUCCUAGUAAACGCAAGUCAUUAACUUGCAUUGAUUACGUCCCUGCCCUUUGUACACACCGCCCGUCGCUCCUACCGAUUGAGUGGUCCGGUGAGGCUUUGGGAUCUGAGCGGAAAGAGCGUUUCGCUGUUUCUGCUCGGAAAACUCAGUCGAACCUUAUCAUUUAGAGGAAGGAGAAGUCGUAACA
RNAcentral lists this ribosomal RNA (324 nucleotides) under uncultured eukaryote. RNAcentral's name for it is "partial 18S ribosomal RNA". It matches the Rfam family "Eukaryotic small subunit ribosomal RNA", at positions 1470 to 1796 of the family's 1831-position model. The record is from RNAcentral.